Molecule: long non-coding RNA, 769 nt
Filed under: Homo sapiens (human)
Lineage: Eukaryota; Metazoa; Chordata; Mammalia; Primates; Hominidae
Description: non-protein coding LINC01914:18
Source: RNAcentral
UUUUUUCUUUCUGAUUCUUCCAGAAGAGGACUAAAUUGGUUGGUGGAUGAUAGUUGUCCUUUGUAUGGAGGCUGGAUGUAGAAGGUGCUGCAAGCUCUGCAAGCUGAUUAGUUAAUGUGGAAGCUGAAACCUGCCUUGGGAAGCUGACCAUUGACCAUUGUCUUGCUUUUACCUGGGUUGCUUCCUUGUUUCUCUUUAGGUUUUUAAGAAAGGAUAAAGGCUGAACAGAUCUCUGCAGUUACAAUUAUUCAUACUAGAAGAUACUGCUAACCUCUUUGUUAUUUGAGCAGCUGGAUGAGAUUCCUGAUUUCCAUAAUCUGUACCUGGAGGUUUAUACAGGAGAGGAUCACUGGGGCAGACUUGAACCAUGGUGCCCACAAGUGGGGAGGGUGCUCCAGCGGCCAUGGAAAGAACUUCCUUCUGCAGUUGGAGACAGCCUUCUGUGUGGGCUGAAGGACAGAGUGUGAUUUUCUACUUGGAAGAGACUCCAGGGCUCUGCAGAGAGGGAAGCCCUGCUGACCCAUUUCAGCAGACUGUGACACUUCAGCGACCUGCAAAUUCUACACAUUAGAGUUCAUAUUUUAUACAAACUCCGUACACCUAAGAUGUGGACUUAACAUUUCUACCAACAACAUCCAACUUCCAACAAAAGAUGCAGGCCCAUCAGAAGAUGAAAGCUACUAAUGAAGAUGCAUUAAAGAUGAUAUUUAUGGCCACCCCUUAGGGAAAAAAAGAUUCAUAAAUAAUUUCAUGGAAAUUACACCCAAAA